CUUGAGUUUGAUCAUGGCUCAGGACGAACGCUGGCGGCGUGCUUAACACAUGCAAGUCGAACGGAAAGGCCCUGCUUUUGUGGGGUGCUCGAGUGGCGAACGGGUGAGUAACACGUGAGUAACCUGCCCUUGACUUUGGGAUAACUUCAGGAAACUGGGGCUAAUACCGGAUAGGAGCUCCUGCUGCAUGGUGGGGGUUGGAAAGUUUCGGCGGUUGGGGAUGGACUCGCGGCUUAUCAGCUUGUUGGUGGGGUAGUGGCUUACCAAGGCUUUGACGGGUAGCCGGCCUGAGAGGGUGACCGGCCACAUUGGGACUGAGAUACGGCCCAGACUCCUACGGGAGGCAGCAGUGGGGAAUAUUGCACAAUGGGCGGAAGCCUGAUGCAGCAACGCCGCGUGCGGGAUGACGGCCUUCGGGUUGUAAACCGCUUUCGCCUGUGACGAAGCGUGAGUGACGGUAAUGGGUAAAGAAGCACCGGCUAACUACGUGCCAGCAGCCGCGGUGAUACGUAGGGUGCGAGCGUUGUCCGGAUUUAUUGGGCGUAAAGGGCUCGUAGGUGGUUGAUCGCGUCGGAAGUGUAAUCUUGGGGCUUAACCCUGAGCGUGCUUUCGAUACGGGUUGACUUGAGGAAGGUAGGGGAGAAUGGAAUUCCUGGUGGAGCGGUGGAAUGCGCAGAUAUCAGGAGGAACACCAGUGGCGAAGGCGGUUCUCUGGGCCUUUCCUGACGCUGAGGAGCGAAAGCGUGGGGAGCGAACAGGCUUAGAUACCCUGGUAGUCCACGCUGUAAACGGUGGGUACUAGGUGUGGGGUCCAUUCCACGGGUUCCGUGCCGUAGCUAACGCUUUAAGUACCCCGCCUGGGGAGUACGGCCGCAAGGCUAAAACUCAAAGGAAUUGACGGGGCCCCGCACAAGCGGCGGAGCAUGUGGUUUAAUUCGACGCAACGCGAAGAACCUUACCUAGACUUGACAUCUUCUGCAUUACCCUUAAUCGGGGAAGUUCCUUCGGGGACAGAAUGACAGGUGGUGCAUGGUUGUCGUCAGCUCGUGUCGUGAGAUGUUGGGUUAAGUCCCGCAACGAGCGCAACCCUUAUUGUUAGUUGCUACCAUUUAGUUGAGCACUCUAGCGAGACUGCCCGGGUUAACCGGGAGGAAGGUGGGGAUGACGUCAAAUCAUCAUGCCCCUUAUGUCUAGGGCUACACACGUGCUACAAUGGCCGGUACAGAAAGACGCGAUACCGCGAGGUGGAGCAAAACUUUAAAACCGGUCUCAGUUCGGAUUGUAGGCUGAAACUCGCCUACAUGAAGCUGGAGUUACUAGUAAUCGCGAAUCAGCAUGUCGCGGUGAAUACGUUCCCGGGCCUUGUACACACCGCCCGUCACACCAUGAGAGUUGGCAAUACCCAAAGUUCGUGAGCUAACCGCAAGGAGGCAGCGACCUAAGGUAGGGUCAGCGAUGGG
RNAcentral lists this ribosomal RNA (1460 nucleotides) under uncultured bacterium. RNAcentral describes it as "bacterial SSU rRNA". It matches the Rfam family "Bacterial small subunit ribosomal RNA". The record is from RNAcentral.